Molecule: long non-coding RNA, 1903 nt
Organism: Falco peregrinus (peregrine falcon)
Lineage: Eukaryota; Metazoa; Chordata; Aves; Falconiformes; Falconidae
Exons: 2
Source: RefSeq, a predicted model, not a curated record
GCGAGGCAGGUACCUGCAAAAACAGUUCCCCAAGCUGAUGUGGCGGAAUCGCCACGUUCCCACCCAGCCCCGUAACCUCAAGUCCAACCACAGCCCCACAACCGUUCACGUGAAGUGUUCUCUCACGAGUGCUCUCUCACCGAGUGCUCUCUCACACGUCCCUGUGCCACAGGCCCCCCCUCUCUGCAGCUCCCUGCUGCAGAGCUCCGGCUCUGCCCUUCAGCCGCACUUCAGCUCCCUCCUCAAACCAUUUGCCAAUGCUGGGACCAAGUGACGGCCAGGAGCAUUGCACCUCUUCACCUCCAAGACCUUCAGGUGCUUCACAAGUUAGAUAAAUCCUUUCUCCAACCCAAGUGACUGUGAAAAGCUUUGUUUGCCAGUGAAGCAGAAAACAAGGCAGGUUUCAAAAAAAACCCUGAACUGGCGUGUGCCUGCCACUCUUCCACCUUUGGGAAUCCCAUGCUUGCCAAGCUCCCAGUGACCUCCCUGCUCCCAGAUCCGUGCCACCAGCUCCUCUGGUGCUGUACACACCCCUCUGGCACCAGGCUGAGGAAUUGAUCCUAAGUUCACAAGUGGGUUGGCUUGGAUGGACACCCUUGCUCGCCCUGACAGUGGCUGGGACACUGAGGUUCCAGCCGCCGUGCAGCCACCCUGCGUGCCGAGGAGGUCCUCGCCUAGUCUACUGCUGCUGCGCCUCCGGGGUGAUGCUUGGGCAGAUCAGUAGAUGACUUUUGCCAUCUUAUAAUUUUGGGUACCCCUUCACUUUGGUCAUCAACAAAGCUUCACCAGGUGAAGUUAACCCAGGGAGGGUUAGGUCACCAGGAGCUCCACGAUUUCCCCCCAACCCCUGCUUGCAGCCAGACGCGCUGAAUGGCACAGCACCAGCUUUCCAAGACACAAGCAGCUGCUUCGCCGUUACUGGCACUGCGGUGCAAAACGGUGUCUCUCCAAGCUGACUGACAGGACUCGGCUCUCAGAGGAUGGAGGAAUCGUGGGAUGCCAGAAGGACAACUGGGAAAUCUGUCCUCAAAUCCCAGGCUUCCUGCACCCAGCAGAGCAGCACAGAAAAGAGCCCCCCUGCUAUCCAGCACCCACCGGUGGGACCCACCAGCCUGGAAUUCCCAGCCUGAACGCUGCUGCCUUGUGCAAAAGUCGUGGCUGCCUUGGGCAUGGACGCUUGGGGAGGGAUGUGGCGGCAGCUGCCGUGCUGAUACAGCUGCUCCGGAGCGGCACCCAAAAUCCCAGCCUCGAUCAACACCCCGGUCGCUCCCUCCUUUGUAAACAAGCUUUUGAGCACCUGCCUGGAGGUCUAAAACGGGACUGUUUCUGAGCCUGAAAUACUCCUAUGGAAAAGAACUGCGUGUUUCUGUAAGGAAAGGUCUCUGCUCAGUUGAAAUUCUAAGCCAGACUAAAGCCACUUCAGAUCUCUGGUCCUGGACAAAGCUUUGUCACAGGAAGACAGGAAAGAAAACGGUAGCCAAAGUAAUCCCAGGAAAAACACACUAAUGAAGGUUUGCAGAUUCCAGUGCAGCAGCUAAAUCAACACGUUGUUUUGCCAAGAAACCAUUGUGAAAUCUGCGGUUUCCUCUUUGAUCCUAAGCCUACCCUACCCAACCUAUUCAUAACCAGUAUCGGUACACAGAAAUGAUUGUAAGGCUCACAUCGGCUGGUCGGUGAGCUUCUGAGAAUAAACAGGUUGUUCCGUCUUGUCACAGCUGGCUACUAGACUUUUCUGGCAUACGUCUGCACUGUACUGAACCUUGAAACAAAAAUGGAAGGUGUAAAAUACUACGUAUGAAACACACUAAGAAGAGUAUGAAAUUCUGAAGCUCCUCUCUCUUUCCCCUGGGCAGAUACCAUGGAAAUGGCAUUGGAAUAUUAAAACUCUUCAUUCUCUUUAUAA